UCUCUUCCCUCCUCUGUCCUCUCUCCUCACUCUUCCCUCCUCACUCCUCCGUCCUCCCUCACUCCUCACUCUUCCCUCCUCACUCUUCCCUCCUCUGUCCUCUCUCCUCACUCCUCCCUCUCUCCUCACUCUUCCCUCCUCUCUCCUCCCUCCUCUCUCCUCUGUCCUCUGCUCAGGUACCGCGAGGAGUCGGUGCCGCUCCACCCGUGUCUGCUGCUCGUCAGCAACUGUGAGCAGACGCUGUCCAGCCACACGUCUCGCCGCCUCAUCGCCAUGGAGAAGGUCAAGCAGCCCGAGGAACUGGACCGCCUGGCUCAGCGGGCCGCGCCGCGCUGCAGUCCGUUCCAGGGACACAACGCCUUCAGGGAGAAGUACUUCAGUGGCGUGAACAAGAGGUGUGGCAAGGAGGACGGCCGGGCGGCGCUCAACGGCGAGUGAGGACUCGAGGGACGCGUCUUUUUCUAAAUGUCACAUUAUUUUAAUUAUGAUUCUUUAUAUGCCUGUACUUAUUGCUUUGCAAAUAAAUGGAUAAAACAAA
Pseudoliparis swirei is the source of this 538-nucleotide long non-coding RNA. RefSeq lists it as uncharacterized. Lineage: Eukaryota; Metazoa; Chordata; Actinopteri; Perciformes; Liparidae. The record is from RefSeq and is a predicted model, not a curated record. The transcript has 2 exons.